UCUUAACCAUAAUACUCCCAUUUUUUUCCAUUGACUUCUCUUCCAGUUACCUUACCAUUAGUGCUCCUUAAGACUGCACUAGAUAAGAGGAUCUUAUUUAAAGAUUAAAAAAAGAAAGAAAGAUUUCAAAGCCCCUCAGGAUCUGCCUAUAAAUGAUCUUGUCUACACUAUUUCAAUGAGAUAAAGGAGAGAAGAGAGGAAAAUGAGCAUCAGAUCUCUGAUUUUAAUUUGGAGCUUUGGAGGUUUAUUCAGGAAUAUUUCCUGUUUGUGAGGAGUGUCUCCUGUACUGAAUCCUCGGACAGGUACCAUCCAGAAAGUUCUCCAGUAAUUCUUGGACUCAGCUUGGGAACUCCCACUCUGAUUGGGUAAAUUCCCAAAAGGAUUCACUCAAAGAAAGCAAAAAUGAAAGUAAGGAGGCUAACAAGGAUAGGGGAUUAAUUCAGUAUAAGAUGAAAGCCAGCGGAGAAAAGUUUGGAAUCAAGCAGAUGAGAGAACUGGUGUUUAGAGAGUUGAAGUCACUUGCCCAUGUCGCACAACUGGUAAAUAACAGACCAGCAUCCAAGUCUUCUGAUUGCUAAUUCAGUGCUCCUUCUACCAUGUCACACUGACUCUGAAAAUUUUUUAUGUAUCAAUUUAUGAAAUUAAUAAAAAGCAAUCAAGGACUAAAGUAAAAUCUUCUU
Molecule: long non-coding RNA, 680 nt
Organism: Sarcophilus harrisii (Tasmanian devil)
Lineage: Eukaryota; Metazoa; Chordata; Mammalia; Dasyuromorphia; Dasyuridae
Exons: 4
Source: RefSeq, a predicted model, not a curated record